Molecule: ribosomal RNA, 492 nt
Filed under: uncultured bacterium
Lineage: Bacteria
Description: partial 16S ribosomal RNA
Rfam family: Bacterial small subunit ribosomal RNA
Source: RNAcentral
AGUGAACGCUGGCGGUAGGCCUAACACAUGCAAGUCGAGCGGCAGCACAGUAAGAGCUUGCUCUUACGGGUGGCGAGUGGCGGACGGGUGAGGAAUACAUCGGAAUCUACUUUUUCGUGGGGGAUAACGUAGGGAAACUUACGCUAAUACCGCAUACGACCUACGGGUGAAAGCAGGGGAUCUUCGGACCUUGCGCGAUUGAAUGAGCCGAUGUCGGAUUGGCUAGUUGGCGGGGUAAGGGCCCACCAAGGCGACGAUCCGUAGCUGGUCUGAGAGGAUGAUCAGCCACACUGGAACUGAGACACGGUCCAGACUCCUACGGGAGGCAGCAGUGGGGAAUAUUGGACAAUGGGCGCAAGCCUGAUCCAGCCAUACCGCGUGGGUGAAGAAGGCCUUCGGGUUGUAAAGCCCUUUUGUUGGGAAAGAAAAGCAGCAGGUUAAUACCCCGCUGUUCUGACGGUACCCAAAGAAUAAGCACCGGCUAACUUCGUG